Molecule: ribosomal RNA, 547 nt
Filed under: uncultured bacterium
Lineage: Bacteria
Description: partial 16S ribosomal RNA
Rfam family: Bacterial small subunit ribosomal RNA
Source: RNAcentral
UGGGGAAUUUUGGACAAUGGGCGAAAGCCUGAUCCAGCAAUGCCGCGUGUGUGAAGAAGGCCUUCGGGUUGUAAAGCACUUUUGUCCGGAAAGAAAUCCUUGGCUCUAAUACAGUCGGGGGAUGACGGUACCGGAAGAAUAAGCACCGGCUAACUACGUGCCAGCAGCCGCGGUAAUACGUAGGGUGCAAGCGUUAAUCGGAAUUACUGGGCGUAAAGCGUGCGCAGGCGGUUUGCUAAGACCGAUGUGAAAUCCCCGGGCUCAACCUGGGAACUGCAUUGGUGACUGGCAGGCUAGAGUAUGGCAGAGGGGGGUAGAAUUCCACGUGUAGCAGUGAAAUGCGUAGAGAUGUGGAGGAAUACCGAUGGCGAAGGCAGCCCCCUGGGCAAGUACUGACGCUCAUGCACGAAAGCGUGGGGAGCAAACAGGAUUAGAUACCCUGGUAGUCCACGCCCUAAANGAUGUCAACUAGUUGUUGGGGAUUCAUUUCCUUAGUAACGUAGCUAACGCGUGAAGUUGACCGCCUGGGGAGUACGGUCGCAAGAUU